ACUCCUACGGGAGGCAGCAGUAGGGAAUUUUCCACAAUGGGCGAAAGCCUGAUGGAGCAACACCGCGUGCAGGAUGAAGACUUUCGGGUCGUAAACUGCUUUCAGCAGGGACGAAGCGUGAGUGACGGUACCAGCAGAAGAAGCCCCGGCUAACUCCGUGCCAGCAGCCGCGGUAAU
RNAcentral lists this ribosomal RNA (177 nucleotides) under uncultured bacterium. Its description in RNAcentral is "partial 16S ribosomal RNA". It matches the Rfam family "Bacterial small subunit ribosomal RNA", at positions 335 to 524 of the family's 1533-position model. The record is from RNAcentral.